This 253-nucleotide ribosomal RNA is filed under the name uncultured bacterium. RNAcentral's name for it is "partial 16S ribosomal RNA". It matches the Rfam family "Bacterial small subunit ribosomal RNA", at positions 524 to 776 of the family's 1533-position model. The record is from RNAcentral.
UACGUAGGUGGCAAGCGUUGUCCGGAAUUAUUGGGCGUAAAGCGCGCGCAGGCGGUUUUUUAAGUCUGAUGUGAAAGAUCGGGGCUCAACCCCGAGAGGUCAUUGGAAACUGGGAAACUUGAGUGCAGAAGAGGAGAGUGGAAUUCCAUGUGUAGCGGUGAAAUGCGUAGAUAUAUGGAGGAACACCAGUGGCGAAGGCGACUCUCUGGUCUGUAACUGACGCUGAGGCGCGAAAGCGUGGGGAGCAAACAGG